This 77-nucleotide transfer RNA is filed under the name Chelativorans intermedius. Its description in RNAcentral is "tRNA-Pro". It matches the Rfam family "tRNA". Rfam says of the family: Transfer RNA (tRNA) molecules are approximately 80 nucleotides in length. Their secondary structure includes four short double-helical elements and three loops (D, anti-codon, and T loops). The record is from RNAcentral. RNAcentral also lists the same sequence under 15 other names. Lineage: Bacteria; Pseudomonadati; Pseudomonadota; Alphaproteobacteria; Hyphomicrobiales; Phyllobacteriaceae.
CGGAGCGUAGCGCAGCCUGGUAGCGCAUCUGCUUUGGGAGCAGAGGGUCGCAGGUUCGAAUCCUGCCGCUCCGACCA